This 274-nucleotide ribosomal RNA is filed under the name uncultured bacterium. RNAcentral's name for it is "partial 16S ribosomal RNA". It matches the Rfam family "Bacterial small subunit ribosomal RNA", at positions 523 to 796 of the family's 1533-position model. The record is from RNAcentral.
CUACGGAGGGUGCAAGCGUUAUCCGGAAUCAUUGGGUUUAAAGGGUCCGUAGGCGGGCGAUUAAGUCAGAGGUGAAAUCCCACAGCUCAACUGUGGAACUGCCUUUGAUACUGGUUGUCUUGAGUUACAGUGAAGUAGAUAGAAUGUGUAGUGUAGCGGUGAAAUGCAUAGAUAUUACACAGAAUACCGAUUGCGAAGGCAGUCUACUAACUGUAUACUGACGCUAAUGGACGAAAGCGUGGGGAGCGAACAGGAUUAGAAACCCCGGUAGUCC